GAUGAAGAACGCAGCGAAAUGCGAUAAGUAAUGUGAAUUGCAGAGUUCAGUGAAUCAUCGAAUCUUUGAACGCACAUUGCGCCCCUUGGUAUUCCGAGGGGCAUGCCUGUUCGAGCGUCAUUAUAACCCUCAAGCUCAGCUUGGUGUUGGGGCCUGCUGCACUGGCAGCCCUUAAAAUCAGUGGCGGCGCCAUCUGGCUCUAAGCGUAGUAAUUCUUCUCGCUAUGGAGUCCUGGUGGAUGCUUGCCAGCAACCCCCAAUUUUUCUAUGGUUGACCUCGGAUCAGGUAGGGAUACCCGCUGAACUUAAGCAUAUCAAUAAGCGGAGGA
This 328-nucleotide unclassified non-coding RNA is filed under the name soil metagenome. RNAcentral describes it as "partial contains 5.8S ribosomal RNA, internal transcribed spacer 2, and large subunit ribosomal RNA". The stretch from base 1 to 120 matches the Rfam family "5.8S ribosomal RNA", at positions 35 to 154 of the family's 154-position model. The record is from RNAcentral.